Molecule: ribosomal RNA, 460 nt
Filed under: Escherichia coli
Lineage: Bacteria; Pseudomonadati; Pseudomonadota; Gammaproteobacteria; Enterobacterales; Enterobacteriaceae
Description: bacterial SSU rRNA
Rfam family: Bacterial small subunit ribosomal RNA
Source: RNAcentral
UGUCGUCAGCUCGUGUUGUGAAAUGUUGGGUUAAGUCCCGCAACGAGCGCAACCCUUAUCCUUUGUUGCCAGCGGUCCGGCCGGGAACUCAAAGGAGACUGCCAGUGAUAAACUGGAGGAAGGUGGGGAUGACGUCAAGUCAUCAUGGCCCUUACGACCAGGGCUACACACGUGCUACAAUGGCGCAUACAAAGAGAAGCGACCUCGCGAGAGCAAGCGGACCUCAUAAAGUGCGUCGUAGUCCGGAUUGGAGUCUGCAACUCGACUCCAUGAAGUCGGAAUCGCUAGUAAUCGUGGAUCAGAAUGCCACGGUGAAUACGUUCCCGGGCCUUGUACACACCGCCCGUCACACCAUGGGAGUGGGUUGCAAAAGAAGUAGGUAGCUUAACCUUCGGGAGGGCGCUUACCACUUUGUGAUUCAUGACUGGGGUGAAGUCGUAACAAGGUAACCGUAGGGGAA